RNAcentral lists this transfer RNA (94 nucleotides) under candidate division BRC1 bacterium HGW-BRC1-1. RNAcentral describes it as "tRNA-Ser". It matches the Rfam family "tRNA". From Rfam's summary of the family: Transfer RNA (tRNA) molecules are approximately 80 nucleotides in length. Their secondary structure includes four short double-helical elements and three loops (D, anti-codon, and T loops). The record is from RNAcentral. Lineage: Bacteria; Candidatus Sumerlaeota.
GGAGAGGUGGCCGAGUGGUUGAAGGCGACCGCCUCGAAAGCGGUUAAACCGUUUAAACCCGGUUUCCGGGGUUCGAAUCCCCGCCUCUCCGCCA